RNAcentral lists this unclassified non-coding RNA (312 nucleotides) under Hevea brasiliensis (rubber tree). Lineage: Eukaryota; Viridiplantae; Streptophyta; Magnoliopsida; Malpighiales; Euphorbiaceae. The record is from RNAcentral.
GGGAUAAAGUAUAUCUGCCCUGCUGGAAGGUACAUGCCAUGAACAAACAAAAUAAAAUAUCAGCAUUCCACAACUAGAUUGUGCCAUUUUUUAAAAAGAAAGAAUUUGUGAAUGUGCUACAAGCAUAAGUAUAGCCGAUAUCCUUGUACAAAAAUGUAAAUCACAUCUCUGAAGAAUCAAAAGUGCUCUCCUCAUCAUAACACCAGUUCCCUUCUUGUCUGGAACUCUUCUCUCCCCCCCUCAACAUAUUAAAAAAAAAAGAGAGAAAAAAAAGAAAAAAAGAGAUUCCAUGUUAUUUUAUUUUAUUUUAUU